Molecule: long non-coding RNA, 441 nt
Organism: Mauremys reevesii (Reeves's turtle)
Lineage: Eukaryota; Metazoa; Chordata; Testudines; Geoemydidae
Exons: 3
Source: RefSeq, a predicted model, not a curated record
GAAGGACACUCCUGCUGUGCUUGGGAGGGGAACUUACACCCGGCGGUCCCCAAGCCGCUGAAGUGGGAGACCCUGACAAGGAGUGUGCCAGCCACAGCGUACCCUGAGGAAUCCAAGGAGCCCUGAAAGCAAGAGACACAGCCAUGGAAUCCUUUCAAAUACAGCACUAGGCAAGAAUCCAACUUCCUUUUGGAUGUUCUUUUAUUCAUGCUAACUGAGUUGGCCUUACAACACGGGACUCCAGCAGGACUCCAAGCUUCCAGGAACAGAAGGAAAAAUGGGCCUGGAGUUGCCUGCUCCUACCAUUUCUGCUCCCAGAUUGGGGACCAGGCAGUGCAUUGCUGCCUCCUCUGGUCUCACUGCCAGACAGAAAGAGAGACCAGGACAAUUUGAAACAGCUACCCGACUCUUGUUCACUGCAAGUUUCCAGUCCAUACUGAG